Molecule: transfer RNA, 76 nt
Filed under: bacterium
Lineage: Bacteria
Also listed under: 3 other names
Description: tRNA-Phe
Rfam family: tRNA
About the family: Transfer RNA (tRNA) molecules are approximately 80 nucleotides in length. Their secondary structure includes four short double-helical elements and three loops (D, anti-codon, and T loops).
Source: RNAcentral
GGGCAGGUAGCUCAGUCGGUAGAGCAGAAGACUGAAAAUCUUCGUGUCGAGUGUUCGAUUCACUCCCUGCCCACCA